CAUAACCUUUAGCUAAACCAGUAUUAAAGGCAACGCCUGCCCGGUGAAUAGUUUAACGGCCGCGGUACCCUAACCGUGCAAAGGUAGCGUAAUCACUUGUCUAUUAAUUGUAGACCCGUAUGAAAGGCAUAAUGAGGGUCUAACUGUCUCUUUUAGUAAAUCAAUUAAACUGAUCUCCUAGUCCAAAAGCUAGGAUACCAACAUAAGACCAGAAGACCCUGUGAAACUUUAACUAAACUAUUAAACCCUAUAAUAACUCCUUUAGGUUGGGGCGACCUUGGAAAAAAAAAGAACUUCCAAAUAACAUAUUAAAUAAUAAUAAAGUACCAGGCCAACAAGCCUACCUACGACCCAGCACAGCUGAUAACUGAACCAAGCUACUCCAGGGAUAACAGCGCUAUCUUCUUCAAGAGCCCAUAUCAAAAAGAAGGUUUACGACCUCGAUGUUGGAUCAGGACAUCCUAACGGUGCAACCGCUAUUAAGGGUUCGUUUGUUCAACGAUUAACAGUCCUACGUGAUCUG
Molecule: ribosomal RNA, 523 nt
Filed under: Emydocephalus annulatus (turtle-headed seasnake)
Lineage: Eukaryota; Metazoa; Chordata; Lepidosauria; Squamata; Elapidae
Description: partial 16S ribosomal RNA
Rfam family: Bacterial large subunit ribosomal RNA
Source: RNAcentral